UUUAUCCCUUUCAGUGUUAUUAUACUUGGUCAAUUUGGUCUUAGCUGAUGUUGGAACAUGGUAAAGUAGUUAGAAAAUUGAAUUUAGGUUUCUCUACCGCUACAAUUCAUUUAUUAUUAGAUUGCAAUGCUUAGUUUUGUUAAGCUUCGACCGCUCAAAAACUUCUUUUUGGGGAGAGUUGUAGUUGUUGGGAGAGAUUCAACAAGGACUUCUCAAAGUCUGAAGAUUUUGUCAUUUAAUCAGAAUAUCACUAAUGCCAUCUAUGUUAGUCCUAAUAUUAACAACAUCAUGUGGUUGAACUUUAAGUUAAUAUUGAUGUUGAUCUUUGAGUUAAUAUUUACUCUUACAGAAUAUGAUAUAUCAGGUCACAUAGUGGGUGAACGAGAAUAUUGCCCCUCUAGUGACAUCUAUAUGAAUUCAAGUUCCAAUUCAGUUAUAUAUCCUCAGUGUAUUUGAAAAUUAUUAAAUGUUUGAUACAUAUGACUUUCUUUUCUAACUAUACAUUUUAAAGAGGGGAAAUUUGUUGUACUAUAUUUCAAUAAAUAAAAGUAUGACUUAAUAGAAAAGUAUGACCACUAUUUAAUUUACUGCAUGCUCUUUACUUAUUUCUUAUGUUCUAGAAAACAGCCACAAGUGUUUGGGGUCUAGCAGCACGUUGGCUAGCAGAUUAGGAAAUCAUACCUUUUGAUUAUGUAUCAUAUGCUAAGAAGCUCUAGAUGUGCCCACCUUAGAUGCAUAUUUAAUCAAAUAAUUGUAGUUUUAUACAAAAUCUAUUCUCACUGAGACCAUGAAAUUCUUACUACACAAAAUAUCUCAAUAGCAGCUUAGCAUUGAGGUACUGGAAACUUAGAUUUCAAACAAGCAGCAUUCAUGAUAUAGAACCAGAGAAAAGGUAUGUAAUAAUUCUUAAAUAACUUUUUGGCAAGGAUGAGAAAUGCAAAACAGUGAAAUAUGAUUUUUCAGGAAUUAGAAGCAAGUAAAGGAUUGACAACAAGGAAUGAGGACCAUUUGUAAGUGAGAGAGCUGAAUGAUGGCUGAGUAUGCAUUCACUGACAGAACUGGCCUCUUUGGAAUGUCAUGGUAUAAGCAUCUGAUACCGGAGAGCUGACCUUUAAUAUGUUUUGACAACUUAGUGUGGGGAGCUUCUUUGUAGCUUGCCAUGCCUACAUCAGAUUUAUCAGACUAUACCGGUUUGUUGCAAUUGAAGCUGGAAUGACUCCAAAUAUUUUCUAUUGUCUCAAGAUUUUGAAGCCUCCGCAUAUCCACUUUUCCUAGCUUAGGAUUUGGACAUAAAGAAGGGCAUAUACUUAUCCAUUUGUUUUUGCAAUUUUAACCCAUGUUCAGAAUUUUAUCCUAUUUUCUAUGUUAUUUUAUAGAGUAACCCCCCAGAUACUUGUUGGUAUGACUUGUUAUAGAAUGAUAUGUGAUUUAAGUAGGCUAAAUAAUUAUUUGGCCUUCUUCCUGAACAUGUUAAGUUCUUCAGAAUGUCCUUUAUUUGAGUUCAUGAUUUACUUUUGAUUGUUGGUUGAUA
Lotus japonicus is the source of this 1531-nucleotide long non-coding RNA. RefSeq lists it as uncharacterized. The record is from RefSeq and is a predicted model, not a curated record. The transcript has 3 exons. Lineage: Eukaryota; Viridiplantae; Streptophyta; Magnoliopsida; Fabales; Fabaceae.